UACGGAGGGGGCUAGCGUUGUUCGGAAUUACUGGGCGUAAAGCGCACGUAGGCGGCGCGACAAGUCAGAGGUGAAAGGCCUGGGCUCAACCUGGGAACUGCCUUUGAUACUGGCGUGCUUGAGUCUGGAAGAGGGUGGCGGAAUUCCCAGUGUAGAGGUGAAAUGCGUAGAUAUUGGGAGGAACACCGGUGGCGAAGGCAGCCACCUGGUCCGGUACUGACGCUGAGGUGCGAAAGCGUGGGGAGCAAACAGG
This 253-nucleotide ribosomal RNA is filed under the name uncultured bacterium. RNAcentral's name for it is "partial 16S ribosomal RNA". It matches the Rfam family "Bacterial small subunit ribosomal RNA", at positions 524 to 776 of the family's 1533-position model. The record is from RNAcentral.